GAUGAACGCUGGCGGCGUGCUUAACACAUGCAAGUCGAACGAAGCACUUUAUUUGAUUUCCUUCGGGACUGAUUAUUUUGUGACUGAGUGGCGGACGGGUGAGUAACGCGUGGGUAACCUGCCUUGUACAGGGGGAUAACAGUUGGAAACGGCUGCUAAUACCGCAUAAGCGCACGGCAUCGCAUGAUGCAGUGUGAAAAACUCCGGUGGUAUAAGAUGGACCCGCGUUGGAUUAGCUAGUUGGUGAGGUAACGGCCCACCAAGGCGACGAUCCAUAGCCGUCCUGAGAGGGUGACCGGCCACAUUGGGACUGAGACACGGCCCAAACUCCUACGGGAGGCAGCAGUGGGGAAUAUUGCACAAUGGGCGAAAGCCUGAUGCAGCGACGCCGCGUGAGCGAAGAAGUAUUUCGGUAUGUAAAGCUCUAUCAGCAGGGAAGAUAAUGACGGUACCUGACUAAGAAGCACCGGCUAAAUACGU
RNAcentral lists this ribosomal RNA (480 nucleotides) under uncultured bacterium. RNAcentral describes it as "partial 16S ribosomal RNA". It matches the Rfam family "Bacterial small subunit ribosomal RNA", at positions 28 to 506 of the family's 1533-position model. The record is from RNAcentral.